RNAcentral lists this ribosomal RNA (300 nucleotides) under Staphylococcus aureus. RNAcentral describes it as "partial 23S ribosomal RNA". It matches the Rfam family "Bacterial large subunit ribosomal RNA", at positions 405 to 708 of the family's 2925-position model. Lineage: Bacteria; Bacillati; Bacillota; Bacilli; Caryophanales; Staphylococcaceae. The record is from RNAcentral.
AUCCUGAGUACGACGGAGCACGUGAAAUUCCGUCGGAAUCUGGGAGGACCAUCUCCUAAGGCUAAAUACUCUCUAGUGACCGAUAGUGAACCAGUACCGUGAGGGAAAGGUGAAAAGCACCCCGGAAGGGGAGUGAAAUAGAACCUGAAACCGUGUGCUUACAAGUAGUCAGAGCCCGUUAAUGGGUGAUGGCGUGCCUUUUGUAGAAUGAACCGGCGAGUUACGAUUUGGUGCAAGGUUAAGCAGUAAAUGUGGAGCCGUAGCGAAAGCGAGUCUGAAUAGGGCGUUUAGUAUUUGGUC